GUGUUACUGGGAGUUCCCUAUAAGCACUUCACGAGGCAUUGGCUUAUUAAGAGCUCUUGUGAAGUGUUUGGGGAACUCUUAGUGUCAC
Setaria italica (foxtail millet) is the source of this 88-nucleotide microRNA precursor. It matches the Rfam family "mir-395 microRNA precursor family". Rfam says of the family: mir-395 was identified in both Arabidopsis thaliana and Oryza sativa computationally and was later experimentally verified. mir-395 is thought to target mRNAs coding for ATP sulphurylases. The mature sequence is excised from the 3' arm of the hairpin. The record is from Rfam. Lineage: Eukaryota; Viridiplantae; Streptophyta; Magnoliopsida; Poales; Poaceae.